CCUAGUAGCGGCGAGCGAAGCGGGAAGAGCUCAAAUUUAUAAUCUGGCACCUUCGGUGUCCGAGUUGUAAUCUCUAGAAAUGUUUUCCGCGUUGGACCGCACACAAGUCUGUUGGAAUACAGCGGCAUAGUGGUGAGACCCCCGUAUAUGGUGCGGACGCCCAGCGCUUUGUGAUACAUUUUCGAAGAGUCGAGUUGUUUGGGAAUGCAGCUCAAAUUGGGUGGUAAAUUCCAUCUAAAGCUAAAUAUUGGCGAGAGACCGAUAGCGAACAAGUACCGUGAGGGAAAGAUGAAAAGCACUUUGGAAAGAGAGUUAACAGUACGUGAAAUUGUUGGAAGGGAAACGCUUGAAGUCAGACUUGCUUGCCGAGCAAUCGGUUUGCAGGCCAGCAUCAGUUUUCCGGGAUGGAUAAUGGUAGAGAGAAGGUAGCAGUUUCGGCUGUGUUAUAGCUCUCUGCUGGAUACAUCUUGGGGGACUGAGGAACGCAGUGUGCCUUUGGCGGGGGUUUCGACCUCUUCACACUUAGGAUGCUGGUGGAAUGGCUUUAAACGACCCGUCUUGA
This 562-nucleotide ribosomal RNA is filed under the name Rhodotorula mucilaginosa. RNAcentral describes it as "partial large subunit ribosomal RNA". It matches the Rfam family "Eukaryotic large subunit ribosomal RNA", at positions 79 to 657 of the family's 3401-position model. Lineage: Eukaryota; Fungi; Basidiomycota; Microbotryomycetes; Sporidiobolales; Sporidiobolaceae. The record is from RNAcentral.